GAAUCUCGCGUGGCGCAUUCUUUUCGCGGGUCGGGCGCGCGCGAUUCCCGGAGGAAAAUGAAAUUCAUUCCGAACCGCGGAACGACGCCGGUCGAACGGAUCGUGCGCUCGUAUCGGUGCGAGUACUUUUAUGUCCCCGUUAAUAGACUCAUCGCUGUACCACGGGUUCUGCGAAUUUCGAAUGUCACCGGUCGUUCGGGAUUUACCGCGCGCGACCGGCUGAAAGUGAAGAUAUUCGUUGCGACGAAGAUAUUCGGGGAGACGGUGAAUUUCCGUCUGCGAUUUCUUCCCUGGAUUUUAUGGCCACCCUUAAUGCUCGGUUGGCUAUGGUACGGGGACGUUUGUAAUUAACACGAUUAUGGUUAGAGUACAUGCUCUUUGUUUUUUGAGCUACUGCUUUUGAGGUAUUUGUUACUGAAAUGAACAUGUAAGCAGUUGAAAUAUUCACUGGAUUAGGGGUUGAAAUGUUAAUACUAGAUUUAUAGAUGUUUAUUCUAUAGUUUGUUCUGUUGGUUCUAGAACACGUGUUUAUUUAUAUAGAUCAUGAAAGUUGUAGCUUAAAAAUUAGUGUUACAAUGUAUAAUUGCAGGAAUUGAAGUCAACACGAUAGUGCUUGCGUCACGUUUUACCGACAAUUUGGAAGGAUAACAAAGUGUAUUCCACUGUAAGUGUAAAUUUUCUUUCAAGAUACUAAACUCGGUAAUAGCGAAGCAUGUCUUUUGCAUUUUGUCACCGAUAGCUUUGUAUUGUUACGAUUAAUAUUUUUCAGAUUGAUGCGUCGUAUAAAGUAAAUAUUAAAUACCAAAUUUUAUCAAAAUCAGGUGGCUAGUGAGAGCCACUCGAGUGCAAAGGUUUAAUAUUCGUGCUUUCUAGGUUGCAAGCGGGUAGUCCGAAGAAAAUAUUCUGUUCGCCGUGGAAGCUUUAAGACCGACGCGACAUCCAGAAGGGAUAAGCGGUAGAAAUAUCCGCGGGACGUAACGCUCGCCGGUUGUCGACGGAAUUUUACUUAGUCCCGGCUUUCAUUUCUUUUUCUGCGUCGAAAAGGAAGAUAUCGGCGCUGGAUUUGGCGCGAGGCGCGACUGCUGCCGCGUGGGACGGCCGCGAGUACAUUCGGGCUGCCCACAUGGAGCGCCGUAACGCAUCGGUCAGUAAAAUAUCGAGGCUCUCCGGCGUGAUUUUGAAUGGCCGCCGGUUUCGAGGAAACGUCGCUGUUGCGUAUGGGAAAGGAAAUUAUUCGGAAUCCGCGUGGAAAAGGAGUGGUCCGAUGAACCUUCACCUACUUGCCAAACGUACCGCCGAACCGGAUAACGCGUUGACGUUCACUUUGAAAUCGGCAAUGGAGAACAAAAAUUCCUUUUUGUCAAUUAUUCGAUUCCUGGGGUGUUCCAUCAAGGUACAUUCACCAGCAUUGGACGGCCAGGGACGAUACAUUAACAUAUUGAUCGCCACCGGAGUUACUAAAAUGUUUGAGGACAUACGAAGGAAACUGAUGUCGAAUUGAAAUAUUCAAUGACACAAGUAACUAAAUAAUACCACGGGAACUAUGGUAUCGAACUAUCAGUAACCAAUUCCAGUACCAUUGGUCGACGUGUUCACGUGUUAACCAGUUAACUGUGUUUGACGAGUAUACACGUCAUCGUAAAGCUUGACAUAUACUAAUUCUUUCAGCGAUGAAUUCUUUAUUUUUUCGCAUAAACAUCUAAUUCUUCUUUUUUUCGCUUUGAUCUUUCAUUAAAAUAUACUCUACGCGCAUUCGUCCCUUCGACGAGUACACGCUCCAUUUUUUAUUUUAUUAUCUAGACCGAGAGGUUUCUCCAACGAAAUUCCACAGUUAACCGGUUAAAGAUCAACAUUAUUUCCGAUGUGCAGAGGUCAUCGAGGAAAGGAGGACCGACGGCGUCGUCGCAGCGAGCGAAACCGAGAGUGCUUCCCACAGGCGUCGCGAACAAAAGCGAUUUCACUCGUUUGUCCGCGGAGCUCCGUUGCAAAACAAAGAAUACUGG
This is a non-coding RNA of Nomia melanderi (Alkali bee), 2003 nucleotides long. NCBI's taxonomy places the organism in Eukaryota, Metazoa, Arthropoda, Insecta, Hymenoptera, Halictidae. The record is from RefSeq and is a predicted model, not a curated record.